This 492-nucleotide ribosomal RNA is filed under the name uncultured bacterium. Its description in RNAcentral is "partial 16S ribosomal RNA". It matches the Rfam family "Bacterial small subunit ribosomal RNA", at positions 29 to 507 of the family's 1533-position model. The record is from RNAcentral.
AGUGAACGCUGGCGGUAGGCCUAACACAUGCAAGUCGAACGGCAGCACAGUAAGAGCUUGCUCUUACGGGUGGCGAGUGGCGGACGGGUGAGGAAUACAUCGGAAUCUACUUUUUCGUGGGGGAUAACGUAGGGACACUUACGCUAAUACCGCAUACGACCUACGGGUGAAAGCAGGGGAUCUUCGGACCUUGCGCGAUUGAAUGAGCCGAUGUCGGAUUAGCUAGUUGGCGGGGUAAAGGCCCACCAAGGCGACGAUCCGUAGCUGGUCUGAGAGGAUGAUCAGCCACACUGGAACUGAGACACGGUCCAGACUCCUAAGGGAGGCAGCAGUGGGGAAUAUUGGACAAUGGGCGCAAGCCUGAUCCAGCCAUACCGCGUGGGGGAAGAAGGCCUUCGGGUUGUAAAGCCCUUUUGUUGGGAAAGAAAAGCAGCAGGUUAAUACCCCGCUGUUCUGACGGUACCCAAAGAAUAAGCACCGGCUAACUUCGUG